GUCGAACGGUAACAGGUCUUCGGACGCUGACGAGUGGCGAACGGGUGAGUAAUACAUCGGAACGUGCCCAGUCGUGGGGGAUAACUACUCGAAAGAGUAGCUAAUACCGCAUACGAUCUGAGGAUGAAAGCGGGGGACCUUCGGGCCUCGCGCGAUUGGAGCGGCCGAUGGCAGAUUAGGUAGUUGGUGGGAUAAAAGCUUACCAAGCCGACGAUCUGUAGCUGGUCUGAGAGGACGACCAGCCACACUGGGACUGAGACACGGCCCAGACUCCUACGGGAGGCAGCAGUGGGGAAUUUUGGACAAUGGGCGAAAGCCUGAUCCAGCAAUGCCGCGUGCAGGAUGAAGGCCUUCGGGUUGUAAACUGCUUUUGUACGGAACGAAAAAGCUUCUCCUAAUACGAGAGGCCCAUGACGGUACCGUAAGAAUAAGCACCGGCUAACUACGUGCCAGCAGCCGCGGUAAUACGUAGGGUGCGAGCGUUAAUCGGAAUUACUGGGCGUAAAGCGUGCGCAGGCGGUUAUGUAAGACAGAUGUGAAAUCCCCGGGCUCAACCUGGGAACUGCAUUUGUGACUGCAUGGCUAGAGUACGGUAGAGGGGGAUGGAAUUCCGCGUGUAGCAGUGAAAUGCGUAGAUAUGCGGAGGA
This 647-nucleotide ribosomal RNA is filed under the name uncultured Delftia sp. RNAcentral's name for it is "bacterial SSU rRNA". It matches the Rfam family "Bacterial small subunit ribosomal RNA", at positions 61 to 705 of the family's 1533-position model. The record is from RNAcentral. Lineage: Bacteria; Pseudomonadati; Pseudomonadota; Betaproteobacteria; Burkholderiales; Comamonadaceae.